RNAcentral lists this long non-coding RNA (2296 nucleotides) under Canis lupus familiaris (dog). Its description in RNAcentral is "lncRNA (ENSCAFG00845012472.1)". The record is from RNAcentral. Lineage: Eukaryota; Metazoa; Chordata; Mammalia; Carnivora; Canidae.
UUUUUUUUUUUUUUUAACGAAUGAAAAUCUAACAAAGGUGCAAUACCUAAAUCUCUAAAGACUCUUUCCACCAGAUUCCAUUUUAAAGGAUACAGGGCCAUCAGUUCUAUUGACAGAAAGCAUGUAAUAGAUUAUGAGUCCUGCUGAUCAAGGUUGAUGAUCAGAGGCAAAAAAAAGUAGUCAUGUGCUCUUGCACAGCAAGAGCAGGAGCAGAAUUGGUCAACAGAGAACAUAGAUUAUGUAUCUACAAAUCUUUUCCUCUGGACACAACCCUUAUUAACUUAGAGGAUUCCCUGAUUCUCUUGGGCUUUUGCCAUAUGCCAAAGUUGCACUAUAUCUCUAAAAUUUCAAAUUUAACAUCCACUUCAGUUAGUUUCAGUCUGUGUGUGAUCUUUUCUCUUAAGUCAUUAAAAUUUCUCAGACCAGCCUGCUCUAUCAACCACAUGUCAUAUAUUUUCUUACCAGGGGCAGUGAUGCAGAUUUUUUUUAUUUAAAGAUUUUAUUUUAUUUAUUCAUGAGACACACACACACGCACACACACACACACACACACACACACAGGCAAGACACAGGCAGAGGGAGAAGCAGGCUCCAUGCAGGGAGCCUGAUGUGGGACUUGAUCCUGGGACUCCAGGAUCACAACCUGAACCGAAGUCAGACGCUUAACUGCUGAGCCACCCAGGCGUCCCAAUGAUGCAGAUUUUUAAGGAACAAAUUAUUGUUUUUUUAAGUUUGGUAUUUUUUUGUUAGGUAUUCUACUCUUCAGGGUUAUGGUUCAUGUCUCCAUUUUGCAAAAUUAUUAUUCCUCUUUCAAAACCAUUUCUUUUCUCUACAGUUAGUUUUCUGGGAGAGUAGAUAUUUUUUAUUGUUGUUAAUUAGUUUGUUUUUUCAUUUCUUAAUACAGUUUAGUCAUUAAAAUUCUGAUGAAGCUUUUGAACCUCACUUUCAAUCUCUGCAUAUUCUGACUCCAAGGAUUCAUUCUCAUUUUGCAAUUUUGAAAUGUCAUAAUUUCUUUUAUCUUCUCCAGUAAACACACACACACACACACACACACACACACAGACACAGACACAGACACAGAAAAAGCCUGCUUCUUCCUCAGUCUGUCUGUGUGAGGGACUGAACCAAUCUAAUCUGUAAUUGAAGUGAGUGUCUGGAUUUUAUGGGUUAUUGAAGCAUUCUUUUUACUACCCAAGCUUUCCAUGCCACUGAAUAUCUUUCUCCCACUCUGCCGCCUUGCCCCCAAGUAGUUGUAACAAUGCAACAGAUGAAAGGCUUGUAGGCCAUGGGGUAGGCUAUUUUAGCUCUUCUCUCCUAUACCAAUCUUUGUCAAGUCAUGGCCUUGCACUUAGUAGAGCUCCUCUUUGAAUGCUACAGAAAUGCCUUUUGAUGGAGACUCCUUGGAAUUCUAACCAUCACCCUAACCCACAAGACCAUUAAUAGCUUGUUAAAAAUUAUGCUGAUUUCUCUUUGUUCCUGUCUAAAGCAGAUUGCCUCCUUCCUCUGCAGUGCCCUUAGGGGUAAAAACAGUCAUGAGAUUUCUUUCUUUCUUUUUUUUUUUUUUUUUAAAUUCUGGGAAGCGUUCAUCUUUUUCUGGAAUUUGGCUACUUAAUUUUGUGUCUUUAGUUCUCUGAGGAGUUAAAAACAUGAUUUUGUUACUUAUCUGGCUUAUUCUCAAGUAUUCUUUUAAUGAACAUGUCCCCAUGAAACUCUUCUCUGUCUCUCGAUUAGGACAACUCUAGCUACAAAGAUAUUGAUUCAAAUCAAACUUGAGAUAAUACAGAUUUACUUCUCAAAUAAUGAAUCCACCAGUGAUGCUGUUCCUUCCACAGUGAUUGGAUCAAUAAUAGGAUUCCAAACUAGAAAAUCAUUAAAGUAUAUCCAUGAGUUUUAGAUUUUACUUCUAUUUCAGAAACUUGUUACCUGCAGUAUCAAAGCCUCCAAUACUAACAUUCCACAUAUAACGUGGCACUAAGCGAGGUAUGAACAGUGUAGAACAUGGGAAGUUGAGUAAACAAAUAAAUCUAUACAAUAUUCUCAUUCUCAGUUAAUGUCUAUUCUAUCUUUCCACUCCUCCAGGCCAGUCAGAAUCAUUCUUAGCUCUACCUUACAACCUAUAUCUAAUUCACCAGGAAAUCUUGUAAGCCCCACCCUUAAUAUAACUAUGAUAUAACUAUGGCUCACUAAAACUACUAUUAUCACUUUGGUGCAAGUUACCAUGAUUUCUUACAGAGAUUUACUAAUAAUAUGGUUUUAACUCAUCUCCAUUCUUUCACUCCUGCAACCUUGACUCUGC